Molecule: small nuclear RNA, 148 nt
Filed under: Zea mays
Lineage: Eukaryota; Viridiplantae; Streptophyta; Magnoliopsida; Poales; Poaceae
Description: U2 spliceosomal RNA
Rfam family: U2 spliceosomal RNA
About the family: U2 is a small nuclear RNA (snRNA) component of the spliceosome (involved in pre-mRNA splicing). Complementary binding between U2 snRNA (in an area lying towards the 5' end but 3' to hairpin I) and the branchpoint sequence (BPS) of the intron results the bulging out of an unpaired adenosine, on the BPS, which initiates a nucleophilic attack at the intronic 5' splice site, thus starting the first of two transesterification reactions that mediate splicing.
Source: Rfam by way of RNAcentral
AUAGCUUUAUCGACCUUUUGACUAAGAUAAAGUGUAAUAUUUAUUUUUAUCAGUUUAAUAUUAGAUAUGUGAACUAUAUGUUCACUUUGAUAUUAAAUUUAUUUUUUAUGGGUAUCAAAUAUGAUUGUGUCGUUGCAGCGCACGACAU